AUGGGCAUGGGGCUGUGCCAACGGUCCUGCUUGCUCCCACUCAGACCUGCCCUGGGGGCAGGGAGGGAGUUGGUACGGACGGAAAGGGGCUUGUCUGCCCUCCUUCAGCCCGGUGCACAGAGCAGGGCUGGCGGGAGCCCGAGGCAGCCCGGCCCGCACGGAGCGUCCCCGGGGCUCCCACCGCAGCCUCCUCCUCCCCUGCAGCCACUGCCACUUUCGCUUUCCUUUCCCCGGGCCAUGGCCCAGCGCUGCACAGGGCCCGAUGCGAGGGCGCUCAGGGGCCCCCAUGCUGCAGCCACCGGCCCAGGGGCUCCCAGUGAUGGGGUGGGGGCUGGGCAGAGCGGGGGGGACUACGGGUUCUUCUCGUGGCUUUUCCGAGGCAACGAUGAGCAGGAGGCAGCACCCCCGCAGCACCAGGACGGGGCAGUGGCUGGUGUCUGCCCUACAACGGUGGCGCAGGAGAUCCGGGAGAAAGUGGACGCGCUGCAAGCGCAGCUGCAGGAGCUGAAGGACUCCUCGGACCCGCUGGUACUGGAGCUCCUCCGUGCCUUCGAAGCGCCCAUGGGCAUUGCCAUCCGCCUGCUCGCCGAGAAUCAGAGGCUGCGGCAGAAGCUGGAGGAAGAAGCCAGCCCACCAGCACCCCUCUUCCCGAAGCACUCCCCAGCACCCCUCUGCCCCAGCCCGCAGCUCAGAGUGCUGCCCCUGCAGAUCCGCGCGACCGGCCGGACGGGCGGCUCCGAGAGGCAGUUCCUGGCCCAGCUGUGCCAGCACCUCGAGCCCCGGGGUAUCCAGCUGCUGGAGGAGGCGUUCAACCAGCGCUCCCACUGCCUCCUGCUGCUCUUCUGCCCCAUCUCGUCCCGUGUGGGCACCGACAUCAGCAACGCCCUGCACGGCCUCCCGGACACGAGGCAGGCCAUCCUCAUCGUGCUGCACCACCGGCCCAGCGAGUCCAGCCAGCUCUAUGCCAGCAGCAAGCGGGAGGCUCAGCACCCCAGCCUGCUAGACACUGUGGACUGCUGCUUCUCCAUCGUCUCAGGCCUCUACCCCUGCUGGGCCAACACCAAAGCCAUAAACUCCGUGGUGGCCACGCUUCAGCGACUGAGCGGGAGCAGACCCUAGGGAGCAGGGCACGGAGGAGCUGCCACAGGAAGCGACACUGGACCAGACAUUCAAGUCUAUAAAA
Molecule: long non-coding RNA, 1183 nt
Filed under: Crocodylus porosus (Australian saltwater crocodile)
Lineage: Eukaryota; Metazoa; Chordata; Crocodylia; Crocodylidae
Description: lncRNA (ENSCPRG00005003105.1)
Source: RNAcentral